CAGCCGCCACGGUAAAACGUAGGGGGCAAGCGUUAUCCGGAAUUACUGGGUGUAAAGGGAGCGUAGACGGUUAAACAAGUCUGAAGUGAAAUGCCGGGGCUCAACCCCGGAGCUGCUUUGGGAACUGUAGAACUGGAGUGUCGGAGGGGUAAGCGGAAUUCCCAGUGUAGCGGUGAAAUGCGUAGAUAUUGGGAGGAACACCGGCGGCGAAGGCGGCUUACUGGACGACAACUGACGUUGAGGCUCGAAGGCGUGGGUAGCAAACAGGAUUAGAUACCCGUGUAGUCCCUGUCUCUUAUAC
RNAcentral lists this ribosomal RNA (301 nucleotides) under uncultured bacterium. RNAcentral's name for it is "partial 16S ribosomal RNA". It matches the Rfam family "Bacterial small subunit ribosomal RNA", at positions 509 to 807 of the family's 1533-position model. The record is from RNAcentral.